UACGUAGGGUGCAAGCGUUGUCCGGAAUUAUUGGGCGUAAAGAGCUCGUAGGCGGUCUGUCGCGUCGGAUGUGAAAAUCCAGGGCUUAACCCUGGACCUGCAUUCGAUACGGGCAGACUAGAGUUCGGUAGGGGAGACUGGAAUUCCUGGUGUAGCGGUGAAAUGCGCAGAUAUCAGGAGGAACACCGGUGGCGAAGGCGGGUCUCUGGGCCGAUACUGACGCUGAGGAGCGAGAGCGUGGGGAGCAAACAGG
RNAcentral lists this ribosomal RNA (253 nucleotides) under uncultured bacterium. RNAcentral describes it as "partial 16S ribosomal RNA". It matches the Rfam family "Bacterial small subunit ribosomal RNA", at positions 524 to 776 of the family's 1533-position model. The record is from RNAcentral.